Molecule: long non-coding RNA, 1095 nt
Filed under: Agrilus planipennis (emerald ash borer)
Lineage: Eukaryota; Metazoa; Arthropoda; Insecta; Coleoptera; Buprestidae
Description: uncharacterized LOC112905179, transcript variant X5
Source: RNAcentral
UUUAAAGGCGAGUCAGUUACUAUUAAUUUAGAACUCGGUUAGUAUAAUUGAGCGCACCUAUAAAUUCUAUUAUCUAUGAUCGUAGGUAUAGAAAGAAUUUUCAUCUAUGGAUCUUCCGGCUUUACCCUUUGUAGAUCUAUUAUCUAAGGCACUGGAGAGCGUUGUUUGAGGCGAAGAAAAUUCGCCAUUUUUGCUGUCCAGAAAUACAAACUACGCCUGAAGACUUGCUGUGAGGUAGCAUUCGUGUAUUAGAUGGACAAACUACUUAUGGUCUAAUGUUUGCGGCAGUGAGACCUAUUUCUUUUUUCAUUAGACACAGGAUGACAGUUAUUAUUAAUAAUAAUGAAUUAAUAUGGACAGGGCAAAUCAAAAGGGGGGGAAUGUGAAAAGCGGAGCCCCUCUUGAAAGGUUGUCAUUUAAACAAAUUCAAUGAGCAUUGAUAUGACAAACAAGGACUCCAAACCUGAAGAAGUGUAACACCAUUAGCACUCCCUCCUUUGGACUUAGGGCUGUUUGUGGAAGAGGUAUUGCAGUUUUUCAGAAAAUACUACAUGCUUCAUUUCCUCAUCAGUGGUUUUUUCUUUUCAUAAGUGUCUACUGUUAGAGGCACUUUUCUGUUGUGAACGCUUAGGAAUAAAACUGAAGCAUCGUACAGUAACCCUCUAGGUACGCUUUUUUAAGUGUUAAUUGCUAAGUACAUGCAAUACUUGAUUGUCAUUUUAAUUUGCGAAAUGCUAAUAUUUUCACUUUCUUUAAGGUGUGUUUAAUUUUUUCCUUAGUUAAUAGUGGAAUUAACAUAGUUUUUCGUCAAUAGUAUAAGUUGAGGUUAUUGUGCAUGUAUAUCUCUCGACAAUUUCUAUUUUUCCACAGAGUAAACUGAAAUUUAUCAUUGAUCUAUGGAAUUUCUUUUUAACCUCUUCCAAUUGUCUGCAUCAUAAUGACGUCGUGUUAUUUGACAUUUAUCUAUGUCGUGAUCUAUGGUUGUGAUGCAAAAUGGUGUGAAAAUAACGCUUGUCACUUAAUAAUUUACUUGCUUUUUGGUGCGUUUAUAGUUAUUUUAAAUGUAUUUCUUAAUUGAUAGUGUAAUUAAUAUGU